CUACUUACCUGGCAGGGGUGAUACAAUGAUCAAGAAGCUACUUACCUGGCAGGGGUGAUACAAUGAUCAAGAAGGUUGUAUUGGAUCAAUUCCUCAAAUGUGGGAAUCUUGACUGCACCAUUUCUGGUAGUGGGGGACUGCGUUCGUGCUCUCCGCUG
Alosa sapidissima (American shad) is the source of this 158-nucleotide small nuclear RNA. RefSeq annotates it as U1 spliceosomal RNA. The record is from RefSeq and is a predicted model, not a curated record. NCBI's taxonomy places the organism in Eukaryota, Metazoa, Chordata, Actinopteri, Clupeiformes, Clupeidae. The transcript has a single exon.